UCCCUGGUGGUUCAGUGGUUAAGACUCUGCACUUCCAUGGCAGGGGGCUCAGGUUCAGUCCCUGGUCAGGGAA
Molecule: transfer RNA, 73 nt
Organism: Ovis aries (sheep)
Lineage: Eukaryota; Metazoa; Chordata; Mammalia; Artiodactyla; Bovidae
Rfam family: tRNA
About the family: Transfer RNA (tRNA) molecules are approximately 80 nucleotides in length. Their secondary structure includes four short double-helical elements and three loops (D, anti-codon, and T loops). Further hydrogen bonds mediate the characteristic L-shaped molecular structure. tRNAs have two regions of fundamental functional importance: the anti-codon, which is responsible for specific mRNA codon recognition, and the 3' end, to which the tRNAs corresponding amino acid is attached (by aminoacyl-tRNA synthetases). tRNAs cope with the degeneracy of the genetic code in two manners: having more than one tRNA (with a specific anti-codon) for a particular amino acid; and 'wobble' base-pairing, i.e. permitting non-standard base-pairing at the 3rd anti-codon position.
Source: Rfam